Molecule: ribosomal RNA, 301 nt
Filed under: uncultured bacterium
Lineage: Bacteria
Description: partial 16S ribosomal RNA
Rfam family: Bacterial small subunit ribosomal RNA
Source: RNAcentral
CAGUCGCCGCGGGAAUACGUAGGUGGCAAGCGUUGUCCGGAAUUAUUGGGCGUAAAGGGCUCGCAGGCGGUUUCUUAAGUCUGAUGUGAAAGCCCCCGGCUCAACCGGGGAGGGUCAUUGGAAACUGGGAAACUUGAGUGCAGAAGAGGAGAGUGGAAUUCCACGUGUAGCGGUGGAAUGCGUAGAGAUGUGGAGGAACACCAGUGGCGAAGGCGACUCUCUGGUCUGUAACUGACGCUGAGGAGCGAAAGCGUGGGGAGCGAACAGGAUUAGAGACCCCGGUAGUCCCUGUCUCUUAUAC